Molecule: long non-coding RNA, 541 nt
Organism: Pogoniulus pusillus (Red-fronted tinkerbird)
Lineage: Eukaryota; Metazoa; Chordata; Aves; Piciformes; Lybiidae
Exons: 3
Source: RefSeq, a predicted model, not a curated record
CUUCCUGCCCAAUCGUGUGGCUGCAGGCUCCCUUAGCGGACGACUCCAAUGGAAACUCGUCCCGGAUACCACGGCCCCGUGGAGACUCACCGAUGGCCGAUGACCCUGCGGAGGAGGGUGAUGGGUCUCUUCGCGCAGCCCCAGCCGCGCCGCUCAGCACCAGCACCCAGCGAGUCCCGCCAGCCCCGGCGCCGCCGCCUCGCCGCAUCCUGCGGCUCCGGGCUCCCCUGUUCCGUGCGCUGCUUCUCCCGAUUUCAUUUUGCGGAUCGCUCGGGCACUGUGGCUCCAGCGAGACUGUGGCUGGGGGCGACGCGGGACAUUUAUCAUCUCCUAAGUAUCAAUGAUGCUUUCAAUAACUCAACGAAACAACAUACCUGCACCCAGUGUCUGUGAUCCUGACCCUAGAGCCCAACGCGGCUCAGAACUGGGAAAGCGCGGUGCCCUUUUUUUUCCCACGUUACGUCUCUGGCAGAAAAAGGCUGAAGUAAUUCAGACUCAGCGCGAUUAGACCUCAGCUUUGGGGAGAAGAUCUAAUCGCCCA